Molecule: ribosomal RNA, 717 nt
Filed under: uncultured Pseudomonas sp.
Lineage: Bacteria; Pseudomonadati; Pseudomonadota; Gammaproteobacteria; Pseudomonadales; Pseudomonadaceae
Description: bacterial SSU rRNA
Rfam family: Bacterial small subunit ribosomal RNA
Source: RNAcentral
CAGGCCUAACACAUGCAAGUCGAGCGGAUGAUGGGAGCUUGCUCCCGGAUUCAGCCGCUGACGGGUGAGUAAUGCCUAGGAAUCUGCCUGGUAGUGGGGGACAACGUUUCGAAAGGAACGCUAAUACCGCAUACGUCCUACGGGAGAAAGCAGGGGACCUUCGGGCCUUGCGCUAUCAGAUGAGCCUAGGUCGGAUUAGCUAGUUGGUGGGGUAAAGGCCUACCAAGGCGACGAUCCGUAACUGGUCUGAGAGGAUGAUCAGUCACACUGGAACUGAGACACGGUCCAGACUCCUACGGGAGGCAGCAGUGGGGAAUAUUGGACAAUGGGCGAAAGCCUGAUCCAGCCAUGCCGCGUGUGUGAAGAAGGUCUUCGGAUUGUAAAGCACUUUAAGUUGGGAGGAAGGGCAGUAAGUUAAUACCUUGCUGUUUUGACGUUACCAACAGAAUAAGCACCGGCUAACUUCGUGCCAGCAGCCGCGGUAAUACGAAGGGUGCAAGCGUUAAUCGGAAUUACUGGGCGUAAAGCGCGCGUAGGUGGUUUGGUAAGAUGGAUGUGAAAUCCCCGGGCUCAACCUGGGAACUGCAUCCAUAACUGCCUGACUAGAGUACGGUAGAGGGUGGUGGAAUUUCCUGUGUAGCGGUGAAAUGCGUAGAUAUAGGAAGGAACACCAGUGGCGAAGGCGACCACCUGGACUGAUACUGACACUGAGGUGCG